AGGUUUGAUACUGCCGUCUACAAACCUUUGCUGACCUGAGGAAUUGCCAAAGAUGGUUGUUGACGACAUCGCUAUUUAAAACACAAAGCACAACCCUGAUGUGCCUUCAUAUAUAGCGUGUAUGGCCAAAAAUAUGUGGACCCCUACUAAUUGUUGAGUUAAGGUAUUUCAACCUCACACAUUGCUAACAAGUUACUACAUCUGAACUGCUCAACUGUAUGUGCUCUUGUUUUGGAGCAACAAAUCCUGGCCGUGAAGUGUUAAAUAUGGAUACUUAAAACAAUAAAGGGAACGCGUAAAAUAAAGGGAACGCGUAAAAUAAAGGGGGUUAUAGAGGGGCAGAUAAUAACUGAAUGGGGUAAUUCAGGGGGUUAUAGAGGGGCAGAUAAUAACUGAAUGGGGUAAUUCAGGGGCUUAUAGAGGGGCAGAUAAUAACUGAAUGGGGUAAUUCAGGGGGUUAUAGAGGGGCAGAUAACUGAAUGGGGUAAUUCAGGGGGUUAUAGAGGGGCAGAUAAUAACGGAAUGGGGUAAUUCAGGGGGUUAUAGAGGGGCAGAUAAUAACGGAAUGGGGUAAUUCAGGGGGUUAUAGAGGGGCAGAUAAUAACGGAAUGGGGUAAUUCAGGGGGUUAUAGAGGGGCAGAUAACAACGAAUGGGGUAAUUCAGGGGUUAUAGAGGGCAGAUAACAACGGAAUGGGGUAAUUCAGGGGGUUGUAGAGGGCAGAUAAUAACCGGAAUGGGGUAAUCAGGGGUUAUAGAGGCAGGAUAAUAACCGAAUGGGGUAAUUCAGGGGUUAUAGAGGGGCAGAUAACUGAAUGGGUAAUUCAGGGGUUAUAGGAGGGCAGAUAAUAACCGAAUGGGGUAAUUCAGGUUAUAGAGGGGCAGAUAAUAACGGAAUGGGGUAAUUCAGGGGCAUAUAGAGGGCGCAGAUAAUAACGAAUGGGGUAAUUCAGGGGUUAUAGAGGGGCGUGAUAACAACGGGAAUGGGGUAAUUCAGGGGUAAUAGAGGGGCAAAUAAUAACGGAAGGGGGUAAUUAAGGGGGUUAUAGAGGGGCAGAUAAUAACGGAAUGGGGUAAUUCAGGGGGUUAUAGAGGGGCAGAUAAUAACGGAAUGGGGUAAUUCAGGGGGUUAUAGAGGGGCAGAUAAUAACGGAAUGGGGUAAUUCAGGGGGUUAUAGAGGGGCAGAUAAUAACGGAAUGGGGUAAUUCAGGGGGUUAUAGAGGGGCAGAUAACAACGGAAUGGGGUAAUUCAGGGGGUUAUAGAGGGGCAGAUAACGGAAUGGGGUAAUUCAGGGGGUUAUAGAGGGGCAGAUAACGGAAUGGGGUAAUUCAGGGGGUUAUAGAGGGGCAGAUAACGGGAAUGGGGUAAUUCAGGGGUUAUAGAGGGGCAGAUAACGGAAAUGGGUAAGACAGGGGUUAUAGAGGGGCAGAUAAUGGAAAUGGGUAAGUCAGGGGGUUAUAGAGGGGCAGAUAAUAAUGGAAUAGGGUAAGUCAGAGAGUAUAGAAUAAAAUCUGUAUCACAAAAUGGCGUUUGAAAUAACCAAAUUAGGCUGAAAGUCAAAAUCUGCCAUUUUAGUCUCCGCUUUUCCGUUAACCAUUUAGUUAUCUAAAAUUCCAAGUUUAGCAGCGAACCUAGAAUGGGAUACAUUUUAUUUACCAGGGUGACAUAAAACAUAAAUAUUUGAUUUUGGUUUUGCAUUGAGAUAUAUAUAUAUUUUUUUUAAAGUAGAUUUUAUAUCAAAACAUGCCAACAUCUAGUGUUUUCUAGACUGGGCACAGACUGAAAAUUACCUUUGGCGUUCUCAGUAGCCUUUGGUGAGAUACCUGUGCCUAUAUUGAUCUGGAGCAUUAAGCUUAUUACCCACCUUUAAUUAAAAUGUGGACGUAAUGAAACCCAUGCUCCUACACCGCGAUGUCCUGCAGAUGUACCUUCUCUGUGGUGUUAUCCUUUUAACGCCUGAAUGAACAUUGAUAUUCUUUGCCAUCGUAAAUAUUGGGUCUUUAAGGACCAUAUUACAAACUAUAAUCUCGCUCAUUUAAUAUCAUGCAGGCCUUUAUAGAGUUAUUGAUUCGGAUUUCCACAAUGUCUUCCUUGGCACACUAUAAACCUGCUGAUGGACGUUGCAUGAAAAGUGCUGUGGUGUAGUAUGUUGUAAUGGAUAAGUCCUUUAAUGGAAUCCAAUCCUUUGGCAUUGAUCUCUUGAAUAAUGAAGGCUACUUACUGGUCAACACUUUUCACUUAUCAUCCAACAACAUGUUGACUUUUUUUUUUUGUGUCCUUAUUGUAACGUAUAAUUAUUAAUACACUCUCCAGGUUGCCGGCAGUUAUGCACAUUUCAAACCAAUCUUGUUAGCCUAUGGCAUCCGUUCUAAUUCUAGAAUUAUAGUUCUAUAGAUUAGCUAGCUUACUGAUUUUGAUGGACAACUUUUAACUCUCUAAUUUUGUUUACAGGUUUGAUACUGCCGUCUACAAACCUUUGCUGACCUGAGGAAUUGCCAAAGAUGGUUGUUGAAGACAUCGCUAUUUAAAACACAAGGCACAACCCUGAUGUGCCUUCAUAUAUAGCGUAUAUGGCCAAAAAUAUGUGGACCCCUUACUAAUUGUUGAGUUAAGGUAUUUCAACCUCACACAUUGCUAACAAGUUACUACAUCUGAACUGCUCAACUGUAUGUGCUCUUGUUUUGGAGCAACAAAUCCUGGCCGUGAAGUGUUAAAUAUGGAUACUCAAAAAAAUAAAGGGAACACGUGAAAUAAGGGGAACACGUGAAAUAAGGGGAACACGUGAAAUAAGGGGAACACGUGAAAUAAGGGGAACACGUGAAAUAAGGGGAACACGUGAAAUAAGGGGAACACGUGAAAUAAGGGGAACACGUGAAAUAAGGGGAACACGUGAAAUAAGGGGAACACGUGAAAUAAGGGGAACACGUGAAAGAAGGGGAACACGUGAAAUAAGGGGAACAAGUGAAAUAAGGGGAAACGUGAAAUAAAGGGAACCGCGAGAAAUAAGGGGAACACGUGAAAUAAGGGGAACAAGUGAAAUAAGGGGAACACGUGAAAUAAGGGGAACAAGUGAAAUAAGGGGAACACGUGAAAUAAGGGGAACACGUGAAAUAAGGGGAACACGUGAAAUAAGGGGAACACGUGAAAUAAGGGGAACACGUGAAAUAAGGGGAACACGUGAAAUAAGGGGAACACGUGAAAUAAGGGGAACACGUGAAAUAAGGGGAACACGUGAAAUAACUACAACUGAGCGCAGAUAUGUUGGUGAAUUAUGUAAUUGCAUUGUCCAAACAAUUGACCAAAAUCCAUGCACAAGUAUUUUCCUCCAUUCCAGAUCCAGAAGCCAACACAGGGUCUCAUAGCUUAUGCCCUGGAGACUGGGUCCUGGUAAAGAAGUUUGUGAGAAAGCACUCUCUAGAACCCAGAUUCGAAGGGCCAUACCAGGUGCUGCUUACUACCCCGACAUCUGUAAAACUGACGGGAAAGAGCAGUUGGAUACACGCCUCUCGCUGCAAAAAGACUCAAGAUCCGGCAGAAACAGUACAAUAAGAGACCAUGGUUCACCCGAUAUAUAUCCUUUUUGCUAUAAGGUUAACAAUAGCGCUACAUGUUUCAAUAACCAAAGAUGAUGAUAAUGUGGUAACCUUCUGGUAUAAUUCUUCCAACACACAUGUGGCUACCUACACCUUUGACUAUUGUGACAUAGUAACUUGCCCACACGUCCCCUGGCAAUGUAACUUAUAUAGAGACACGCCUAGGUCUAGAUCAACUUAUAUUUGUGUUACAGACGAAUACUGGGGACACGAGUGCAGUUACUGGGGAGCGGUGGGAUGGAAUACAGGACCAGAUUGGGGAUACAGACCACAAAGUGCCUUGGAUAAGAAAGAUAAAAAUGGAAAUUCCCUGAUAAGUAGAAUGACCUUGUUAAGAACAAACAAGACGUGCCUGAACGAAGGAGGUUCAGGCCAAAUGAAACACACACUAACCAUUGAGAACCCUAGUCCCUCCGAUGCUGGUACAUAUAUAAUGUCCAUAUGGGUGGCGGGGGGCUCAAAUGGAGCAAAGGGUAAAUUCCACCUUAAGGACAUGUACAAUUCCAGUGAAUGGGUAGCACCUAACACCACUACCCAACCAGCUAAGGGAAGAUAAGUACACAAAAGAAAGCGGCCCGAUCCUCCUCCUACAUAGUGCUGCAAUUGUGGAACGACCUCCUGCGCAAUUUAAAAUCUUCCCUAAGCCUAAAGUCAUUUAAGAGAUCCCUCUCUACAUACCUCAAAACAGAAUGCAUGUGUUAUGGUUGAUUAUAUAUUUCCUGCCUGUUCUAUGUUAAAUUUUGUAUAUAUUGUGUAUUAAAAUUGUUUUUGUAUUUUGUUGUACCUAAUGUAACAAUGCAGUGAUUUGUGGACCCAGGACAUACUUAAAAAAAACCAGAGAAAUCUCAAUGUAUCUUUCCUGGUAAAAUAUUUUAUAAAUAAAUAAAACAAUAAAUAAAACCAUGAUGGCCAUAGCUGAUCCCACAUUCGAAGACACCAUAGCUGCUGAGACAGGUUUCUCAGAUACCAACCUGUGGUUGGAAUGGAUGAGAUAUAAUGCCAAUAAACACAACAAAACCAACUGCUACGUAUGUGGGGGGGCAAGACCACACUUCUUGCCCUCCAGCGAGGAAUCCUGCUUCUUAAGCCUAUACACAAACACAACCACGAACCAGACCCAGUGUGAGAACUGGAAAAAAGAAUACCCCAUCCUAGUAAGAAUAACUAAGCUAAAAGAGGGUGUCACAAUAUAUCCAGGAAAUUACACAUGUUAUGGAUGCUAUGAAAAAAGGGGGGUAGAAGUGGGCAACCUUACCAUGGGAUACUGUGGUACAUACUCUUCACUGGGAUGUGACAAGGUAAAAAACCAAACCCGGUCUCUGGGCGAUAUAUAUUGGAUAUGUGGCGACAUGAGGUUGAGAAGCAAACUCCCCGCUGAUUGGUAUGGAGAGUGUGCUUUGGCAGCGGUCGUUAUGCCCUUACACAUAAUGGGGACU
Molecule: long non-coding RNA, 5029 nt
Filed under: Pelobates cultripes (western spadefoot toad)
Lineage: Eukaryota; Metazoa; Chordata; Amphibia; Anura; Pelobatidae
Rfam family: Small nucleolar RNA ACA64 (bases 1775-1909)
Source: RNAcentral